This 795-nucleotide long non-coding RNA is filed under the name Brassica rapa (field mustard). RNAcentral describes it as "long non-coding RNA (BRAP_LNC003828)". The record is from RNAcentral. Lineage: Eukaryota; Viridiplantae; Streptophyta; Magnoliopsida; Brassicales; Brassicaceae.
UCGAUUCUACUUCCGUCUUCUACAACCGUCGAUUUUUUGAAAUCUGAGCUCGUGAAUUAUGUGUGGUUGUAUUCAACGGAGACGAUGGGAAGGAGAAAGAAAGGUCGAGGUGUUGUCUGAUAUCGAUUUUGAUUUUGAUUUUGCUUUCUUUUUUAAUUUUUGGAUUAUAAUCGAAAAAAAAUACUUUUAACUGUUUAAAUUUUAAAAUAUACGACCUUUGAAAAUGUUUUUAUAUACGACUUAAAUAAUGGAUAAAGGAGCUUGGGGAUUGGGUGGGUGUUUCUUAUACAAGGUUUCGUAGCACGUGGCCAUUACCAUCGCCACGUUGGAUGCUUGGAUGCUGAUGUAACCAACUCAGGUUGGCACGUGACUGGUUGCCUCUCGACACGUACGAGCGUACUGCUUACCUAUGAACGCUAAUGGUCCGCGGGACAGGGACGCUGGUUCCCGGAGGAUAAGGACUUUAUGUAAUGAAUCUAUGAUGAAGAUGAGGGGCAAAAAAGGUACUUCGAGAUGCUUAUAUGGAAUUCGAGUAGGUUUUGUUUAAAAAUAAUGUGAUAAUGUUGACCUCUUUUUGAUUUAAAGAGAAUAUCAAAUAAAUUGAUAAUGUUUGAGGUUUAGCUUUCAAUUCCAAAGAAAAGAUGAAUUUUGCUUUGAAGUUUUAUAGAAUAUUAGUACUAAUCCAGUUAACAAAGAUUCGUAUUUUGUUCUAAACUUGUUUUUAAUAUUGAGGAAUGACAGAGAGAUGGUUGUGGAGCACCCAUUCGUAAUCUAAAGGAGCCACAUAGCUUCUCC